RNAcentral lists this unclassified non-coding RNA (297 nucleotides) under uncultured fungus. RNAcentral describes it as "partial contains 5.8S ribosomal RNA, internal transcribed spacer 2, and large subunit ribosomal RNA". The stretch from base 1 to 52 matches the Rfam family "5.8S ribosomal RNA", at positions 103 to 154 of the family's 154-position model. The record is from RNAcentral. Lineage: Eukaryota; Fungi.
AACGCACAUUGCGCCCUCUGGUAUUCCGGGGGGCAUGCCUGUUUGAGCGUCAUUUCUCUCUCAAACCCUCGGGUUUGGUAUUGAGUGAUACUCACAGUCUACUUUGAGUUUGCUUGAAAAGUAUUGGCAAGAGCGGCACUACGGGUGUCUGCUUCAUUUACGGCUGUUUCAAUGUAUUAGGUUUUACCAACUCGUUGAACUGGCUUGAGCAGAAACAAGUUUUGUCUAUGGCUCGGCCUUACAACACCAAACACUAAGUUUGACCUCAAAUCAGGUAGGACUACCCGCUGAACUUAA